This 468-nucleotide ribosomal RNA is filed under the name uncultured bacterium. Its description in RNAcentral is "partial 16S ribosomal RNA". It matches the Rfam family "Bacterial small subunit ribosomal RNA", at positions 28 to 507 of the family's 1533-position model. The record is from RNAcentral.
GACGAACGCUGGCGGCGUGCUUAACACAUGCAAGUCGAACGGAAAGGCCCUGCUUUUGUGGGGUGCUCGAGUGGCGAACGGGGGAGUAACACGUGAGUAACCUGCCCUUGACUUUGGGAUAACUUCAGGAAACUGGGGCUAAUACCGGAUAGGAGAUCCUGCUGCAUGGUGGGGGUUGGAAAGUUUCGGCGGUUGGGGAUGGACUCGCGGCUUAUCAGCUUGUUGGUGGGGUAGUGGCUUACCAAGGCUUUGACGGGUAGCCGGCCUGGGAGGGUGGCCGGCCACAUGGGGACUGCGGUACGGCCCAGUCGCCUACGGGAGGCAGCAGGGGGGAGUAUUGCACAAUGGGCGCAAGCCUGAUGCAGCGGCGCUGCGUGCGGGAUGACGGCCUUCUGGUUGUAAACCGCUUUCGCCUGUGACGAAGCGUGAGUGACGGUAAUGAGUAAAGAAGCACCGGCUAACUACGUG